This 74-nucleotide transfer RNA is filed under the name Myotis davidii. It matches the Rfam family "tRNA". From Rfam's summary of the family: Transfer RNA (tRNA) molecules are approximately 80 nucleotides in length. Their secondary structure includes four short double-helical elements and three loops (D, anti-codon, and T loops). Lineage: Eukaryota; Metazoa; Chordata; Mammalia; Chiroptera; Vespertilionidae. The record is from Rfam by way of RNAcentral.
UGGCCCGUGGCUCAGUUGGUUGGAGCAUCUUCCCAUACAGCAAAAGGUUGUGGGUUCAAUUCCCAUCAGGGCAC